CCUACGGGAGGCAGCAGUGGGGAAUAUUGCACAAUGGGCGCAAGCCUGAUGCAGCAACGCCGCGUGAGGGACGACGGCCUUCGGGUUGUAAACCUCUUUUAGUAGGGAAGAAGCGAAAGUGACGGUACCUGCAGAAAAAGCACCGGCUAACUACGUGCCAGCAGCCGCGGUAAUACGUAGGGUGCAAGCGUUAUCCGGAAUUAUUGGGCGUAAAGAGCUCGUAGGCGGUUUGUCGCGUCUGCUGUGAAAACUGGAGGCUCAACCUCCAGCCUGCAGUGGGUACGGGCAGACUAGAGUGCGGUAGGGGAGAUUGGAAUUCCUGGUGUAGCGGUGGAAUGCGCAGAUAUCAGGAGGAACACCGAUGGCGAAGGCAGAUCUCUGGGCCGUAACUGACGCUGAGGAGCGAAAGCAUGGGGAGCGAACAGGAUUAGAUACCCUGGUAGUCCAUGCCGUAAACGUUGGGAACUAGAUGUAGGGACCAUUCCACGGUUUCUGUGUCGCAGACUACGACAUUAACGUUACCCCGUCCCGUCGGGAGGUACGGCCGGCCGAACGGACGUAAAACUAACGAAAGGAAAGUUAGACGGCGUGAGACGUGACCGAACGGACGACGACGAGGGAGGAGG
RNAcentral lists this ribosomal RNA (626 nucleotides) under uncultured bacterium. RNAcentral describes it as "bacterial SSU rRNA". The stretch from base 1 to 528 matches the Rfam family "Bacterial small subunit ribosomal RNA", at positions 338 to 873 of the family's 1533-position model. The record is from RNAcentral.